RNAcentral lists this unclassified non-coding RNA (313 nucleotides) under Hevea brasiliensis (rubber tree). The record is from RNAcentral. Lineage: Eukaryota; Viridiplantae; Streptophyta; Magnoliopsida; Malpighiales; Euphorbiaceae.
GAAAAAAGGGAAUGGACUAUUUGACGUUGUGUGUGGGAACGCUCAAAUAAACUUUGGUGUUCUUGAAGUCGUCCAGGAGGGGAUUAUAUCCAUCUUUAGUUCUCGUCUUUGUUGGGAGACCAAAUUCUUCCAUAAAUGCUGCUGUGUCGAGCGAAAGAGUACGUCUUUUCUUUCCCCGCUUCAAUGGCUCGCCAUCUUUUUGCUGCUUCAUCCACCCAGAGCAGUAAUGAUCCAUCUGUUCCAAGAGCAAGAAAUCUGUUGGAAAGAAUAUGUCGGCGUCCCCCUUUGCGUCCAAAUAACUGUUGUAAUCAAA